CUUUAUGAGAGUUUGAUCCUGGCUCAGAACGAACGCUGGCGGCGCGCCUAAUACAUGCAAGUCGAGCGAGAAGACGUAGCAAUACGUUUGUAAAGCGGCGAACGGGUGAGGAAUACAUGGGUAACCUACCCUCGAGUGGGGAAUAA
RNAcentral lists this ribosomal RNA (146 nucleotides) under Nitrospirota bacterium. Its description in RNAcentral is "Nitrospirae bacterium (groundwater metagenome) partial 16S ribosomal RNA". It matches the Rfam family "Bacterial small subunit ribosomal RNA", at positions 1 to 146 of the family's 1533-position model. The record is from RNAcentral. Lineage: Bacteria; Pseudomonadati; Nitrospirota.